AUUGAACGCUGGCGGAAUGCUUUACACAUGCAAGUCGAACGGUAGAGGGGGCAACCCCUUGAGAGUGGCGAACGGGUGAGUAAUAUAUCGGAACGUGCCCAGUCGUGGGGAUAACGUAGCGAAAGUUACGCUAAUACCGCAUACGAUCUAAGGAUGAAAGCGGGGGACUCGCAAGAGCCUCGCGCGAUUGGAGCGGCCGAUAUCAGAUUAGGUAGUUGGUGAGGUAAAGGCUCACCAAGCCAACGAUCUGUAGCUGGUCUGAGAGGACGACCAGCCACACUGGAACUGAGACACGGCCCAGACUCCUACGGGAGGCAGCAGUGGGGAAUCUUAGACAAUGGGGGCAACCCUGAUCUAGCCAUGCCGCGUGAGUGAUGAAGGCCUUAGGGUUGUAAAGCUCUUUCAGUUGGGGAAGAUAAUGACGGUACCCACAGAAGAAGCCCCGGCUAACCUCCCGUGCCAGCAGCCGCGGUAAAGUGACUACUG
RNAcentral lists this ribosomal RNA (486 nucleotides) under uncultured bacterium. RNAcentral's name for it is "bacterial SSU rRNA". It matches the Rfam family "Bacterial small subunit ribosomal RNA", at positions 30 to 531 of the family's 1533-position model. The record is from RNAcentral.